This 387-nucleotide unclassified non-coding RNA is filed under the name soil metagenome. Its description in RNAcentral is "partial contains 5.8S ribosomal RNA, internal transcribed spacer 2, and large subunit ribosomal RNA". The stretch from base 1 to 120 matches the Rfam family "5.8S ribosomal RNA", at positions 35 to 154 of the family's 154-position model. The record is from RNAcentral.
GAUGAAGAACGUAGCGAAAUGCGAUAAGUAAUGUGAAUUGCAGAAUUCAGUGAAUCAUCGAAUCUUUGAACGCACCUUGCACCCUUUGGUAUUCCGAAGGGUAUGCUCGUUUGAGUGUCAUUGUACUCUCACACUUCUAAUUCCUUUCGGGAUUGGGAGCGGUGGACUUGGGUGUUGCUGCUUUAGUUGUGGCUCACCUCAAAUAAGUUAGUGCAACUCUUGGUUGGACAUAGUACGGCGUGAUAAGUGUCUUCGCCGGCGCCUCUGUAAGGAGGGUGGCCGAUCGGGAGCUCUGUGCUUCAAACCGUCUUCGGACAAUCUUUGACAACUUGACCUCAAAUCGAGUAAGACUACCCGCUGAACUUAAGCAUAUCAAUAAGCGGAGGA